GCCGGGGGUUGGGAGCCAAAAAAAGGGUCCAGGCCCCAGCCCCCGCGCCUGGCACUUCAGCGGGCACCGGGCGCUCCCGCGCUGCCGCCUGCGAAGCCGGGGCGGAGCGCGCGGAGCCGGCUGCAGGGCUCGGGAAUCCGCGGCCGCCGCCUCUAAUCCGGCCUUAAGUAGUCUCCGCCUGCGUCACGCCAGGUCGGCGGAGGGGAGUCGAGCGCUGCGGGCGGCUGUAGCUGCGCGCCGGAGCCCGAGGGGCAGGGGAUGCGCGCAGGGAGAGAGGGGGCCAGAGUCCUGGGGCCCCGGCAGGGAGUGGGGCGACUUCGAGAGGAAGGAUCGCAGCGCCCCUCGGGGCUUCUCCGGGUGCCCAGGUAACCUCACCUGACUGCCAGCCCCCGGCAGGAGGGGCAGCCUGGAGCAGACUCGCGGAGAUGGGAUAAUCUUCCAUUAAGUACAGUACCUUGAAAAGUACAGAAGUGCAGUACAACAGCUGGCACACGGGCUGGCAUCGGGUGAACCGGCAAGAAGAGUUACUGACUGGAGGAGGGAGAGGAGGUGGGAGAUGGUAGAGCUGAAGGAUCGUCAGCAAUAGAAGACAGAGGGCAAGCUGCAAUUUCACUCACGCCUGACGUUGGUGGAACACACGUUCAUAACUUUGAAAGCUUGCAACUUGAAGGAUUUUAUAGACUUCACUCCAUUCGACCCACGAUCCCAGGAUUUCAAAGAACUGAAGAGACUGAAGACGUCUGUCCCAGAAGUUAGUCACUGAUUAGGCAAAGGUAUCUGGUGCCUGUUGCCUCACAUUUGUUUUGGAACAUGCCCAGUGGUCUUGAUUUAUUUAGGGAAUAUCUGGAAUGGGACAUGGCUGGGCUUAUCUGUCAGCUGGCUUCCGUGUUUCACCGUUAACAUGUAUGGCCCUCAGGAAGAUAACUGAAGAGAAUGAGAAUUGAAACUAAUCUGUUUAAAAUAAUCUUUGACUUUCUCAUUACCAAUAUCUACGUGGUUUCUGCAAAGUCACAAAAACAACUGGAACAUGUGCUAAGACAACAAUUUUCAGUGUCAUCAUAGAAACGAAUCUUAGAGAAUUGUGUUCUCCAAUUCUGUUUCUCGCUUAUGUGGAGCUAAACCUAAUCUGCUUUUCCGAUAUGAAAUAUCUUCAUGAUUCUGUCCCAAAGGGUAAAAUCAAAAUUUAAUAUUGUAACUCCCAGCUAAAAGUCACGCUAAUUCAUCUGAUAAACUUUGUGGUGCUGUGAUAUUACAAUGCUCCCGGUGUCAAGGCCGCCAAUAUACGAGUUCACAGACUGAGUACACAAACACUGGCCCCAUCCUACUCCUACCCCAAACCCCAAACCCCAAACCCCAAAAAGAAAUAAGAGAGGUUUGCUUUUGUAGGUUGCAAGUCCUGGUCUGGUUUAUUUAUAAAGCAAUAAAUAUUAGAAGCACAAAUAAAUUGCACGUGUGUAAACAAACUGUACAAUGAUUGAUGAGAGAUGAGGGAGGGUGGUUCAGAAGACUCCAAGAAGCAUCAUACCGUCAUCCUGAACAUAAGGUAGACUAAGAGAGAAGGCACCUUAGAAGCAUUUGCGGUGGACAAUGGAUGGUCCUGCCUCAUCAUACUCUUGCUUGCUAAUCCACAUCUGCUGGAAGGUGGACAGGGAGGCCAGGAUGGAGCCCCCAAUCCAGACAGAGUACUUACGCUCAGGGGGAGCAAUAAUCUGCAGAAUGAAAACGAAAACCACCAGUGAACUCUGAAGUUCCAAGCAACAGAGCGCAUGUUGGGGAGAUUCACAGAAAGUAUACUGGUGAUCAAUUCACUGUAAUGUGAUACUUCAUUCCCACAAAUGAAUAUGGCUGAGUCAAGUUUAAUGCAUUUCCUCUAUUUCAUCAUUUCCACUAUCAAAGUCACUAUAAAAUAGAACUUCCCCACUUCUCUGAAACAGAAUAUAAUGUGGCAAUAAGCUACAUGCAUGGUGGAGGCUAGCCCGAAAGUGGGGGGGUCUUUUAAAAUGUGUUCAAAGAUUUAGAUAUUUUUUUUCCUUCAAAGAUUUAUUUUUAUCCACUGCUUGAAAGUGUUUCCAAGUCUCCUAUCUUGGGAAAAGUGCUAGAAAAAUCAGAGAAAGUGUUAGAAAAACUAAAAGUUUAUGGGAAACGGGAAGCUAAGCGGUGAGGGGAAAGGAGUUAGGAAUUCUGCUUGGAAUACGGAGAGACCUGUUUUGCUUCCCCCACUCACCUUGAUCUUCAUGGUGCUGGGAGCCAGGGCAGUGAUUUCCUUUUGCAUGCGAUCAGCAAUACCAGGGUACAUGGUGGUACCUCCAGAUAAGACAUUGUUGGCAUACAGAUCCUUGCGAAUAUCAAUGUCACAUUUCAUGAUGCUGUUGUAAGUUGUUUCAUGGAUGCCAGCAGAUUCCAUACCUAGGAACAAGUGUAAAAAAGAAAAAUCACAGUGCCCUCAGGCCAGGGGGCCAGGGUAGAGGGAAGAGAAUAGUACCCCUCUAUGUUGGUACACUGUCACCAUUUGUCUCUGAAACAUAUGUUCCUCUAUAGGACACAUUGCAGGGUUUUGUGGAACAGGUGUCUUAAAAGUGUAGACAGUAAAUCCACAACGGACUGCCAAGAAACAAACAACUGUGUUUAGCACUUGUUUGGAGGGAACACUUGCUGUACCCGUCAGAGUACGGAGAUGGAUUAGAAAAGGAGGAGACACACAU
This is a long non-coding RNA of Globicephala melas (long-finned pilot whale), 2702 nucleotides long. RefSeq lists it as uncharacterized. The record is from RefSeq and is a predicted model, not a curated record. NCBI's taxonomy places the organism in Eukaryota, Metazoa, Chordata, Mammalia, Artiodactyla, Delphinidae.